AGAUCGGCUCCGUGCAGUUGCCAGACCCCCGACCCGGCAACCGCACGGAGCCGUCUU
This 57-nucleotide small RNA is filed under the name Nocardia cerradoensis. RNAcentral describes it as "F6 TB sRNA". It matches the Rfam family "F6 TB sRNA". Lineage: Bacteria; Bacillati; Actinomycetota; Actinomycetes; Mycobacteriales; Nocardiaceae. The record is from Rfam by way of RNAcentral.